GCUCCGGUAGUAUAGUCCGGUCAAGUAUGGCGGCCUCUCGAGCCGCAGACCCGGGUUCAAAUCCCGGCCGGAGCACCA
This 78-nucleotide transfer RNA is filed under the name Pseudomonadota bacterium. RNAcentral describes it as "tRNA-Glu". It matches the Rfam family "tRNA". Rfam says of the family: Transfer RNA (tRNA) molecules are approximately 80 nucleotides in length. Their secondary structure includes four short double-helical elements and three loops (D, anti-codon, and T loops). The record is from RNAcentral. RNAcentral also lists the same sequence under 3 other names. Lineage: Bacteria; Pseudomonadati; Pseudomonadota.